UAAGAAAGGACUCCUUUAGCAACAGACUGGUAAGAAGAUACUCAGGAACUGGACUUCCAGAGUGGGAGAUUCAGAUUAUGAGUCUGGGAAAAGCUUAUAGGAGAGAUAAGAAAGGAAGCAACAAAGGAUUGGGAGGAACUGGUUUCAGCUGCUUCAUACAGGAUCCCUGGGCUAAAACCUAGAGGAUUGGGUGGGUCUGGGAUCCCCUGCCAUCCGCAGCAGAGGGGAUAGUAAGGACCUUAGAGAAAAGAGGUCAAGACCCUGUGGGAGCCUAGGACUCUUGACCCUUUGCUGGGCACAUAAGACUCCCUAGGACAUCAGAUGCUUUUUGUUGCCCUGGAAGCAGAGAGGCAACGAAUGACCUGGCUGGAGCCAUAACAAGAAACCACCAGACACAGAACUAAAUGAUUAUUGGCAGAAUGGGAGAAAACUGCACCAGGCUAGUUGCAGUAAAAGGGGACAGCUGGUGAAAGCUGGAUGAGGGCUAACUCAGCUGUGCUGUAAGCUGGCAUAACUCUAUUGAGGCUAAAAGGACUGUACCUUUCACUAUCCCAUCUCAGGGAGGGAAGUUCUUGCAGUAUUUGGCAGAAGGGGGAAGUCCUGGAAGCAAAGUCCUAUAGGAGUCGUACGGUGUAGAGGCUGAAGUGAGUUCAGCAAAGGAUGGUUUGGGCAGCAGCGUGGAGACAUUCUCAGACUCUACAUUAUUGGAUUCUUCUGACAAAGCACAGCCAGAGGGGUGCUCAGAGCAUGUGUAACACUGAUGGAUGGAAACAUUUAUGUCCACAUAGAGAAAGUCAUACAGCCUAGGGGACUGCUGGGUGUGUAAUAUCAUGCCUUUGGUUCAUGGCUGAAGCUGUAGAGAUGAUGCAGAUCACCAGUGGGCACCCUGAAAAAUUAAGAGAUGGCGACAGUGUCAAAACUGCACCUGAUGCUUCCCUUCAGAAAAUCAGCUCCUUAGAGCAUUGUGACUCUAAGCCUUGGAACUAAGAAGGAGCCAUGCCUGGAGAUGGAAGACCCACAGGUUGGGCUAAAGGAUCAGUCCAUUGUUCUGAGAGAGCAGGACCUUCAAUAGAAGAGGAAACUGGGAAAAGGCAUACAAGAGGGUCCCAUGGGAGGAUGAGGGCAUCUCCCAGUGACUGUUUCCCCAGGCCAGCCCUGAAGCAGUAACGAGGACACUUCUUGUUCUGUGUAGAUUCCCAGAGAGCGUAAUGUGCUCCAGGAAUCCUUCAGGAUGUGGAAAGAAGAAUCUGUCUUCUCCAUGAAGAGUUUGGGCCCUUCAAACUGGAAGUCUUCUGCAGCUCUUUGGGUAAUCCAGAAAGGUGUAGCCAAGAAGCCUACCUCAGUACCACUGUCAUGGAGACCAGGCAGGCAGCUGUAUCAGCUACAUCCAGUGCUGUCUCUCAGGCUGGCUAUUAACUGACCCUCUCUAAGAAUGGUCUGAAACUGUUCCUUUUGUGUUCCAGUAAAUGUUCCAGAAAUGCACUGAGUUUCCCAUAAUUAAUGAAUUGUAUUUGGCUAUGACAAUUUGGUAAAGUUGCCAACAAAUACACCAUUUUGUCAAGCCCAAUCAUAUGGGGUCAAUUUGGCAUUAUGUUGCUUGCUUCAUGCAUUAACCACAUCCCUUGUGAUGGAUUUGUGUUGCAGACAUUGAAACAGUCUGCCUCUUUGGGAGGGAUGUAGUAUUUUUUUUCUUAAUUAUUUUUAUUUUGGCUCCGUUUCUGGUUGAUGCAAUGGAGGCUGCUGUCUGCCAGAUGACUUUGGUAGGAUCUAGAAUCACCUCAUUAACUGGGAGGGCGGUUGAGCAGGAAGUUAGGGGAAUUCGCCCGCGCAGGGCUAGAUAGCCACAAGGGAGGGAGAGCACAUGUGCAGGCUCAAUGGAUGCUGCUAUCCAAAAUCUCUGAUUAGAGGCGCAGGGGUGCAUAUGUGCUUACAGUGAAGCACCCAUAGGGACACUACUCAAAGAAGAAGAUAUUUAUUUCAAGCUCCUGGAAAGACCCAUUUAUUGCCUGGCUGGGAAAAGUAUAUUCUCUAAUUUGUUUAGCAGGAGUAGAGUUAAUCUCAUCUGAUAUGAUUUUUUUUUCCAUUGGGUUAACACUGCCCUAGAAAAGGGCGCUGGAUCUAACUCAACCAAGUGGCAGCAAAUAAUCAACAUUCAAAUGGAUGGAAACUAAAUGCUCAAUUCUAACUAAUAAUCGAAGGGAAAAGAAAAAUGCCUGCAAUGUUGGGAACGGGUUAACUACAACAUUCCACUGCAGUAACUUCCCACACAACAACCAAUAUCAUCAGUGUCUGACAAAUGGGUGAGAGGGGGAAGGUUUGAAAGUUUUGAUAUAGGUCCUGGAGUGUGCAAAAUGUGGGUCUGAUUUUUACAAACCCAAGCAAAUAGUCCUUGCAAAUAGUCCUCGCAAAUAGUCCUCCUCUAUAGGUUAUCCUGA
This is a long non-coding RNA of Dermochelys coriacea (leatherback sea turtle), 2435 nucleotides long. RefSeq lists it as uncharacterized. The record is from RefSeq and is a predicted model, not a curated record. Lineage: Eukaryota; Metazoa; Chordata; Testudines; Dermochelyidae. The transcript has 7 exons.